CGUACAGCUCAUGGCACCCAGCUCUCUGCUUUUACAGAUCAGGAAACCGUGGCCCAGAGAGGUUGAGUGACUUCCCCCAGAUCACACAGAGAAAAAAAGAAAUAGAACUCAAGCCCCAGUGUCUGAUCUCUUUCUCUCCUCCCUUGGGACUCAGGGAAUCACAGUUCUAAUUUUGCUCCUCCCACGGGGAGCCUCGGUUUCCCCCUUCUGGCUGGUGAGGUCAGUCUUUGCCUCUCCCCACACCUUUGUCCUAGGUGUGCUAUGAACUCUAAUGAGUUAACAUGUCUCAGAGCCUACGGAACCUCGCAGGAGAUAUAAUUACAGAGAAUUAGCCUCCACGGUCUUCUGGGAAGGAUUUCGGCGGGGAGUAGGAGGACACCGCCCUAACUGCUAAGCCCAGCGAUCCACAGGCUGUUGUGGGAUUGUUGCACUAAACUGUCACUUCCUCCUCUUGUGACCUUGGGUGACCACCCCCAGGAGGACUCGCACUGGCUGUGAUAUGGUCCAAUAGCAAUCACAGCAGAGCUGCUUUGAUGGAAAACACCCGGGAUCUUGGCUGCCUGGGUUACCCAGAGUGACUGGAGGAGGAGUGGAGGAACAAAGUAAGGAAAACACACUGCUGGAGCUCAACAGCUGCUUAUGUGUGGCAGGUGUGCCUCAAUUCUAAGUCCUCAUCGCCUGGGGACACGGGUCAUGGGUUAUAAAACCCUUUCAAAGCCCUGCAUUAUCUCAGAGGGUUCUCCUAACCAGAGCCGGGGACCUGGAUCCUAGGUUGAAGGAUGAAGACUGUGUACCUAGGAACACACAGCAGGCCUCAGGGCUCCAAAGCCAGGGCUCAUUUCCACCCUGUGUCCCCUAAGUUCGGGUUUCUCCACAUCCCAGGCACCAUUCCCUGACCACCCAGCCCCAGAUGUGCUAGGCGGAGGCAGGGGCUUUAGAGGAAGAUGCCCCAAAACGGAGAGCUUGGAGCCAGACGCAGCAGGGAGACGGGAUGGAAAACCGCGAGCAAAGUUCUGGGAGAAGGGGCUACGGCAAAGACGAAGGAAAAGGAGAGGCGGACGGAGGGAGUCAGGAAAAAGGAAACAGAUGAUGAAAGCGAGAGCCCGAGGGAGCGCGGGAGCCUGCUCUGGGGCGCGGGGUACAAGGCGCCGGGCGCGGGGCAGCCAGAGGCGCCCAAGCCUAGUUCCCCGCUGCGCCCCACCCGACCCAAAGGGGAGCGCCCCACCGACCGAUUUGACUUGCACAAAACCCGCGCCCCAGGGGCCUUUGCCAGGCCGCUGGGGCUUGAUUCAUUUCUUGACUAAUUAACUGGAAGCUACGUUGCCCCUUCUUUCAGGGCCCAAUUAAUUCGCCGCGGGCGGUGGGGCGGGGGCCGUGCGGCCGAGGCGCCCGCCUGGAGUCCCUUUGUGAAGGGCUGUCUGGCCCAUAUUGAUUCUAC
Bos taurus (domestic cattle) is the source of this 1438-nucleotide long non-coding RNA. NCBI's taxonomy places the organism in Eukaryota, Metazoa, Chordata, Mammalia, Artiodactyla, Bovidae. The record is from Ensembl.